CUUGCAAUGCUGAAGCCAGAUCAAAAUGAAAAUCGGAAGCUGCUUUAAUUUCUCUGCUGACCUAUGGGCUCUCCUCAGCUCCUAUGCUGACCCUGUGCUCCGGCUCUCCUUGGCCCCUCCACUGGUGAUGUGCGUCCUGGCGAUUUCUUCAGCCGGCUCUGGAGCCGCUGUGCUCUGUCCUGGGAGGUUUUCGGCCCAGUAGUUGAUGAAGGCUCAUCAGGACAGUUACACAGGCUCUUUCAGAGCCCAGUCCAGCUCUGGCAUGUUUAUUAUGAAACCUCUAAAUUAAAAAAGAAAACCCCAGUGUGGCUGUGGCUUCUGUGCUCCUGGCUGAUCCACCCUCUCCUGGGAGUGACGAGCACCUGAGCCCAGGUGUGUGGGAGUCGCAGGAGGCCAGGUCUGGGAAUGAAAAUGGAAACUCUGA
Nycticebus coucang (slow loris) is the source of this 424-nucleotide long non-coding RNA. RefSeq lists it as uncharacterized. The record is from RefSeq and is a predicted model, not a curated record. Lineage: Eukaryota; Metazoa; Chordata; Mammalia; Primates; Lorisidae. The transcript has 3 exons.